GACGUAGGGCGCGAGCGUUGUCCGGAUUUAUUGGGCGUAAAGAGUUCGUAGCGGCUUGUCGCGUCGUCCGUGAAAACCUGCAGCUCAACUGCAGGCUUGCGGUCGAUACGGGCAGGCUAGAGUUCGGUAGGGGAGACUGGAAUUCCUGGUAUAGCGGUGAAAUGCGCAGAUAUCAGGAGGAACACCGGUGGCGAAGGCGGGUCUCUGGGCCUUUCCUGACGCUGAGACGCGAAAGCGUGGGGAGCGAACCGG
This 252-nucleotide ribosomal RNA is filed under the name uncultured bacterium. Its description in RNAcentral is "partial 16S ribosomal RNA". It matches the Rfam family "Bacterial small subunit ribosomal RNA", at positions 524 to 776 of the family's 1533-position model. The record is from RNAcentral.